RNAcentral lists this ribosomal RNA (464 nucleotides) under uncultured Actinomycetes bacterium. RNAcentral describes it as "uncultured actinobacterium partial 16S ribosomal RNA". Lineage: Bacteria; Bacillati; Actinomycetota; Actinomycetes. The record is from RNAcentral.
GACUACUGGGGUAUCUAAGCCUGUUCGCUCCCCACGCUUUCGCGUCUCAGCGUCAGUAUCGUUCCAGAGAGCUGCCUUCGCCAUUGGUGUUCUUCCUAAUAUCUGCGCAUUUCACCGCUACACUAGGAAUUCCGCUCUCCCCUCCCGAACUCAAGCGAGACAGUAUCCGGUGCAGGCUUGGGGUUGAGCCCCAAGGUUUCACACCGGACUUAUCAAGCCGCCUACACGCGCUUUACGCCCAAUGAUUCCGGACAACGCUUGCCCCCUACGUAUUACCGCGGCUGCUGGCACGUAGUUAGCCGGGGCUUCUUCUGGAGGUACCGUCACCCCAUGGGCUAUUAACCCUGGAAGCUUCGUCCCACCUGAAAGAGGUUUACAACCCGAAAGCCUUCUUCCCUCACGCGGCGUUGCUGCGUCAGGCUUUCGCCCAUUGCGCAAGAUUCCCUACUGCAGCCACCCGUAGG